This 144-nucleotide transfer RNA is filed under the name Myxococcales bacterium. Its description in RNAcentral is "tRNA-Ile". Lineage: Bacteria; Pseudomonadati; Myxococcota; Myxococcia; Myxococcales. The record is from RNAcentral.
CGGCCGGUAGCUCAAGGGUUAGAGCAGCCGUCUUAUAAGCGGCCGACGCACGUGAACUAGGGUCCUACGGACCCGUUACGAACCCUGCAAAGCUCCAGCAAGCUGGACCUUUGCACGAACCGUCGACUCGUGCCCGGCCAACCA